AGUUUGAUACCUGGCUCAGGACGAACGCUGGCGGCGUGCCUAAUACAUGCAAGUCGAGCGGACAGAUGGGAGCUUGCUCCCUGAUGUUAGCGGCGGACGGGUGAGUAACACGUGGGUAACCUGCCUGUAAGACUGGGAUAACUCCCGGGAAACCGGGGAUAAUACCGGAUGACUUGUUUGAACCGCAUGGUUUCAAACAUAAAAGGUGGCUUCGGCUACCACUUACAGAUGGACCCGCGGCGCAUUAGAUAGUUGGUGAGGUAAUGGCUCACCAAGGCAACGAUGCGUAGCCGACCUGAGAGGGUGAUCGGCCACACUGGACUGAGACACGGCCCAGACUCCUACGGGAGGCAGCAGUAGGGAAUCUUCCGCAAUGGACGAAAGUCUGACGGAGCAACGCCGCGUGAGUGAUGAAGGCUUUCGGAUCGUAAAGCUCUGUUGUUAGGGAAGAACAAGUACCGUUCGAAUAGGGCGGUACCUUGAACGGUACCUAACCAGAAAGCCCACGGGCUAAACUACGUGCCAAGCAGCCCGGCGGGUAAAUACGGUAAGGGUGGGCAAGACGUUUGGUUCCGGAAAUUUAUUUGGGGACGUUAAAAGGGGGCCUCGCCAGGGGCGGGUUCCCCUAAAAGUUCUGAAUGUUGAAAAGCCCCCCGGGCUCAAACCGGGGGAAGGGUCAUUGGGAAAACUGGGGAACCUGAGNGCAGAAGAGGAGAGUGGAAUUCCACGUGUAGCGGGAAUUGCGGUGAGAUUGUGGAGGACCCCCAGUUGGCGAAGGGCAAACCUCUCUGGGUCGGGUANCUGAACGCCCGGAGGAAGCGAAAAGCCGCUUUUUUUAUAUGGAGGGCGGCGGAACUAGUCUUCGUUCAGAUGGUAGAACCGCGGAGAAUCUUUGUGUAUAUCGGUAGAGCAGGUGGGUGGUGCAAGGAAUAAAUCCUGUUUGCCCCGCUUAUCAAGUGGUGUUAGUGUUGGGGGGUUCUGCCCCCUANGUGUGCGGCUACGGCAAUAAGCACUCCGCCGUGGAGUACGUUUGCAGACUUGNAACUCAAGGUAAUGACGGUGUCCGCACAAGCGGUGAGCAUGUGGUUAAUUCGAGGCAACGCGAAGAACCUUACCAGUUCUUGACAUCUUCUGACAAUCCUAGAGAUAGAACGUCCCCUUCGGGGGCAGAGUGACAGGUGGUGCAUGGUUGUCGUCAGCUCGUGUCGUGAGAUGUUGGGUUAAGUCCCGCAACGAGCGCAACCCUUGAUCUUAGUUGCCAGCAUUCAGUUGGGCACUCUAAGGUGACUGCCGGUGACAAACCGGAGGAAGGUGGGGAUGACGUCAAAUCAUCAUGCCCCUUAUGACCUGGGCUACACACGUGCUACAAUGGACAGAACAAAGGGCAGCGAAACCGCGAGGUUAAGCCAAUCCCACAAAUCUGUUCUCAGUUCGGAUCGCAGUCUGCAACUCGACUGCGUGAAGCUGGAAUCGCUAGUAAUCGCGGAUCAGCAUGCCGCGGUGUAUACGUUCCCGGGCCUUGUACACACCGCCCGUCACACCACGAGAGUUUUGUAACACCCGAAGUCGGUGAGGUAACCUUUAUGGAGCCAGCCGCCGAAGGUGGGACAGAUGAUUGGGG
Molecule: ribosomal RNA, 1621 nt
Filed under: Bacillus licheniformis
Lineage: Bacteria; Bacillati; Bacillota; Bacilli; Caryophanales; Bacillaceae
Description: bacterial SSU rRNA
Rfam family: Bacterial small subunit ribosomal RNA
Source: RNAcentral